Ostrea edulis (European flat oyster) is the source of this 974-nucleotide long non-coding RNA. RefSeq lists it as uncharacterized. The record is from RefSeq and is a predicted model, not a curated record. Lineage: Eukaryota; Metazoa; Mollusca; Bivalvia; Ostreida; Ostreidae. The transcript is spliced from 2 exons.
GCGUAUUGUAAACAUAAGUACGAUGAAAUCCUCCCUAUUCAUGAAAUGUAUUGAACAAAUAGACUUUUUGUAUAAUACGUUAAGAAACUCCCCGUUGGUAUUUGCUAUUCUAGAAGCACCGCGAAUCAAAGUCAUCAAUUUUAGUCAUCAGAGGUACUCUGGAUCAAAUUUAUUUCCCAGUCCAAACCGCAAACCAAUUAUUGAACAAUAGCCGUGUUUCGAGUUACUCCGGAACACAGUGUUUAUUCUGUGUUUAGUCACGCCGCGUCAAAAAUGUUCCACAGGGUUACUUCCGGUUUAUCGUUGUUUACCAACAGUCGACACUUCGUGUAUUAGGCCUAGGCUUAAUUUUGUCGAUCAUCAUGAAAUUGAAAUACACAUUUAAUAGUUUGGGGUGUAUGCGCUACAUAUUUGUUUAUGAGCGUUUGAUAAGCUACUAUUGAUCUACGAAAUACAACGAAAGACUUCGUCAAGAACAGAAGACGAUGCAUGUCGUGUAACUCAUACAAGGCCCAUCUGUCUAGUAACCGGAGGGGUAAAGGAAAAGAACGUAUUAGACUCACUGAAACCUGUCAAACAGGUAUAUGGGAACAGGAUCAUUUUCCAUGCCUUUCACUUGAGGUCUUCAGUUUCAUCAUUAAUCAUCUGAAUGUCGGUAUGCCAAACUCUCAUGAUGUCAUGCCAUUACUGGAUAUUCCUUAACACUGGUUUAUUUAAGCCACACUACCUAUAACAUUGCCAAAAUAUUAGACUGAAAAUUUUCAAAUACACAAGAUUUGAAGCAGCAAAAGAAAAGAAUUACAUAUGUAUAACACACAAAAAAGAAAUUAAUUCUCACCUGGCUGAUAUGAACUUUUUACUCCUUUUUAGCUCCCUUUCACUGCAUACCAGCCAAUAACUAGCAGUCAUUAUAUGCAGAUCAGCCAUUGUUAUCAACCUGUGUAUAUAUAUGUUGAAUGAAAUAUGAAUGAAAA